RNAcentral lists this ribosomal RNA (253 nucleotides) under uncultured bacterium. RNAcentral's name for it is "partial 16S ribosomal RNA". It matches the Rfam family "Bacterial small subunit ribosomal RNA", at positions 524 to 776 of the family's 1533-position model. The record is from RNAcentral.
UACGUAGGGCGCGAGCGUUGUCCGGAUUUAUUGGGCGUAAAGAGCUCGUAGGCGGCUUGUCGCGUCGUCCGUGAAAACUUGGGGCUCAACCCCAAGCUUGCGGUCGAUACGGGCAGGCUAGAGUUCGGUAGGGGAGACUGGAAUUCCUGGUGUAGCGGUGAAAUGCGCAGAUAUCAGGAGGAACACCAGUGGCGAAGGCGGGUCUCUGGGCCGAUACUGACGCUGAGGAGCGAAAGCGUGGGGAGCGAACAGG